GACGAACGCUGGCGGCGUGCCUAACACAUGCAAGUCGAACGAGAUCCAUGGGAGCUUGCUCCCGGAAGAUCUAGUGGCGAACGGGUGAGUAACACGUGAGAAACCUGCCCUGGAGUGGGGAAUAACUCGGGGGAAACUCGAGCUAAUACCGCAUACCCUCGGAUGGUCGCAUGGCCGACCGAGGAAAGAUUUAUCGCUCUAGGAGGGUCUCGCGGCCUAUCAGCUAGUUGGUGGGGUAACGGCCUACCAAGGCAACGACGGGUAGCUGGUUUGAGAGAACGAUCAGCCACACUGGGACUGAGACACGGCCCAGACUCCUACGGGAGGCAGCAGUGGGGAAUCUUGCGCAAUGGGCGAAAGCCUGACGCAGCAACGCCGCGUGCGGGAUGACGGCCUUCGUGGUUGUAAACCGCUUUCAGCAGGGACGAAAA
This 431-nucleotide ribosomal RNA is filed under the name uncultured bacterium. RNAcentral describes it as "bacterial SSU rRNA". It matches the Rfam family "Bacterial small subunit ribosomal RNA", at positions 28 to 451 of the family's 1533-position model. The record is from RNAcentral.